AAGGAAUAUUGGACAAUGGGCGCAAGCCUGAUCCAGCCAUGCCGCGUGAAGGAUUAAGGCCCUCUGGGUUGUAAACUUCUUUUGUAGAGGAAAAAACCCCCCGAUUCUUUGGGGGCUGAUGGUACUCUGCGAAUAAGCAUCGGCUAACUCCGUGCCAGCAGCCGCGGUAAUACGGAGGAUGCGAGCGUUAUCCGGAUUUACUGGGUUUAAAGGGUGCGUAGGCGGCUUUGUAAGUCAGUGGUGAAAGCUCCCGGCUUAACUGGGAAAUUGCCAUUGAUACUGCUUAGCUUGAGUACAGUUGAGGUAGGCGGAAUAUGUCAUGUAGUGGUGAAAUACUUAGAUAUGACAUAGAACACCGAUUGCGAAGGCAGCUUGCUAAACUGUAACUGACGCUGAGGCACGAAAGCGUGGGGAGCAAAC
This 420-nucleotide ribosomal RNA is filed under the name uncultured bacterium. Its description in RNAcentral is "bacterial SSU rRNA". It matches the Rfam family "Bacterial small subunit ribosomal RNA", at positions 356 to 773 of the family's 1533-position model. The record is from RNAcentral.